UUUUUUCUUUUUUAAGCGUUUUUUUCACUAUGAUGCCCCCAGGCUUGGCACUUGGUCCUGCCAUCUGCAUCAGCUCCAGAGACAGGCCCUGCAGGAAGGCUGGAAACAGGGAGGGCCCGGGCACAUCUUCACAGCCGCCCUCCCCAGCUCCCGGAAGCCUCGGUGGCCAGCCACCUGCAGCACGUCCCGUCACAGGCUAGGGCAGAGCCAGGCCUGGCAGGCGCUCUCCCUGGGCACCAAGAAGCUCUCAACCUCCACCUGGGAGAGACAGCUGGGAGAUCAGACCCCAUCUUCUCCUAACCUGCUCCCAACCCCAGCCAGCUCAGCCUGCAAUCCCCAACAGACAGAGUCCCAGGGUGUCCCGGUGGCAUGGGGUCAAGGCCAGUGGGGGCUGGCCCCAAGGUCACAUUGUCCAGAGGGAAACAGAGAAUCUCCCAGCAGUAAUGGAGUGACACAUAGGUCCAAAGAGGGGUUCCCAAUUUAGAAAACUCAGCAGGGACUUCCCAGGACAGGCAACCUGUCACACUGGCCAGAAUCCAGGGAGAUGACUGAGGGGCCAAGGGGGGUAGCGAGGACUGGGCUGAGGUGGGAAGGAACCCAGGGCCCUGGCUGGAGCAGAGCCAGGGGGAGAGGAAGAGAGAGGAGGGCUGGAGGCAGCAGGGGCGGGUCACGCAGGGUUCUGCAGAUGGGUUUUAUCUCCAGAGCAGAGAACCUUAGGAGGGUUACGCAAGCUGCAGAGGGGCAAGGUCCCACUCCAAAGUGGAGAUGCAUCUGGCCGUGGAGCGCGGGUGAGGGCAGAAGCCACAGCCAAGGGAGAGGCCACUGUGCCAGUCCAGGAGAGUGAUGUGGCGGGCGGCCAGGCUGGGCGCAGCGAGGUGGGAGAGGGGCUGGCAUGGAGAGCAUCAUGCAUUAGAGAGUCCGAAAGGCAGGCAAGCGAUGGUGAGAAUCAAGAGGCCCGCUCCUCCUCUCUGACCCUGGGCAGAGCUAGUCGGGGAGGGAAGGAGAGGGUGACAACAUCCACUUCCUGCACAGGACCCUUUCAGGGGCACAGCCAUCCCGUGUCCCUGGCCAGGAAACUGCUGCUCUGAGGGAGGAGUCACCCAAGGCCACGUGGCAAGGAAGGGAGUGAGCCAGGAUCCAAACCCAGGACCAAGUGCUUGGGCCAUGGGGAGCCAGGGCACCAGGGCACAGGGCUGGCAGCGUGGAGUCGAGGCUGCUCCAGCCCAGGCUGCCCGCGAGCGGCCAGGGCAUGUGGGCCACAGUGUGGACUGAGCCCCACGCCUCCCCGGCAGAGCCGCCCCCGUCAGGGCUUCCCGGGGCCGGGCGUCUCCCAGCUCAGCCCCGCAGCAGCAGGUCUCACUCGCUGUGUCACGCUCCCCUGUGCUCACACCCACCACUCACUCGCUCAAGGCCGCAGUCGCACUUGCUCACUCUGCUGCACUCACAUUCACACUCAUUCACACUCGUGCACACCCGGUUCACACUCACCGGCUCGGGGCCACCCACACACAUUCCAGCUCAGGCCCAGGCCCACUGGCCGGCUCCGUGGGCCCUCCCCGCACAGCAUCCCACCAGCUCCUUCAUGCUCACUGUCCCCCAGCAAGCUCCCACGCUCCCCCUCACCCUCCCAGGCAGGCUGGGGGAACCCGGGCACCCCCCAUUCCUCUGAAGCCACCAGCUCAGUCCACCCACAGCUGGAAGAAGGGCCGGGCCUCCAUCCUCGCGCCCCUGGGGCUGGCCAGGCUAGUCUCCCGGCAAAGCAGAUGCACGGGGAGAGCAAGGACCAGUUCCAAGGCUCCCCUCUGCCAAGCCCACCAUGACCACGCAUGGCCCA
RNAcentral lists this long non-coding RNA (1834 nucleotides) under Homo sapiens (human). Its description in RNAcentral is "HSALNT0371150". The record is from RNAcentral. Lineage: Eukaryota; Metazoa; Chordata; Mammalia; Primates; Hominidae.